GAUGAACGCUGGCGGCGUGCCUAAUACAUGCAAGUCGAGCGAACGGACGAGAAGCUUGCUUCUCUGAUGUUAGCGGCGGACGUGUGAGUAACACGUGGAUAACCUACCUAUAAGACUGGGAUAACUUCGGGAAACCGGAGCUAAUACCGGAUAAUAUUUUGAACCGCAUGGUUCAAAAGUGAAAGACGGUCUUGCUGUCUCUUAUAGAUGGAUCCGCGCUGCAUUAGCUAGUUGGUAAGGUAACGGCUUACCAAGGCAACGAUGCAUAGCCGACCUGAGAGGGGGAUCGGCCACACUGGAACUGAGACACGGUCCAGACUCCUACGGGAGGCAGCAGUAGGGAAUCUUCCGCAAUGGGCGAAAGCCUGACGGAGCAACGCCGCGUGAGUGAUGAAGGUCUUCGGAUCGUAAAACUCUGUUAUUAGGGAAGAACAUAUGUGUAAGUAACUGUGCACAUAUUGACGGUACCUAAUCAGAAAGCCACGGCUAACUACGUG
This 497-nucleotide ribosomal RNA is filed under the name uncultured bacterium. RNAcentral's name for it is "partial 16S ribosomal RNA". It matches the Rfam family "Bacterial small subunit ribosomal RNA", at positions 28 to 507 of the family's 1533-position model. The record is from RNAcentral.